Molecule: ribosomal RNA, 551 nt
Filed under: Fermentozyma sake
Lineage: Eukaryota; Fungi; Ascomycota; Pichiomycetes; Serinales; Debaryomycetaceae
Description: [Candida] sake partial large subunit ribosomal RNA
Rfam family: Eukaryotic large subunit ribosomal RNA
Source: RNAcentral
AGCUAGCGGCGAGUGAGCGGCAAGAGCUAGAUUUGAAAUCGUGUUUCGGCACGAGUUGUAGAGUGUAGGCGGGAGUCUCUGUGGAGCGCGGUGUCCAAGUCCCUUGGAACAGGGUGCCUGAGAGGGUGAGAGCCCCGUAGGGUGCUGCGCGAAGCUUUUGAGGCCCUGCUGACGAGUCGAGUUGUUUGGGAAUGCAGCUCCAAGCGGGUGGUAAAUUCCAUCUAAGGCUAAAUAUUGGCGAGAGACCGAUAGCGAACAAGUACUGUGAAGGAAAGAUGAAAAGCACUUUGAAAAGAGAGUGAAACAGCACGUGAAAUUGUUGAAAGGGAAGGGUAUUGGGCUCGACAUGGGGGGUGCGCACCGCUGUCUCUUGUAGGCGGCGCUCUGGGCGCCCUCUGGGCCAGCAUCGGUUCCUGCUGCGGGAGAAGGGGCUCCGGAAAGUGGCUCUUCGGAGUGUUAUAGCCGGGGCCAGAUGCCGCGUGUGGGGACCGCGGACUGCGGCUACUGUCUCGGAUCUGGCAUAACGGCGCAAUACCGCCCGUCUUGAACAC